GGAAGGGUGGCCGAGUUGGUUAUGGCGCCAGGUUAAGGUCAGCUUAACACCUGUUUCCUGGUGGGGCAACCCGCGCGAGUUCGAGUCUCGUCCCUUUCA
RNAcentral lists this transfer RNA (99 nucleotides) under Colletotrichum sublineola. RNAcentral's name for it is "tRNA-Leu". It matches the Rfam family "tRNA". Rfam says of the family: Transfer RNA (tRNA) molecules are approximately 80 nucleotides in length. Their secondary structure includes four short double-helical elements and three loops (D, anti-codon, and T loops). RNAcentral also lists the same sequence under 1 other name. Lineage: Eukaryota; Fungi; Ascomycota; Sordariomycetes; Glomerellales; Glomerellaceae. The record is from RNAcentral.